UUCCUGGUGGCCCAGGAGUUAGGGCGUUGAUCUUCCACUGCAGAGUCACGGGUUCGAUACCCGGUCAGGGAA
Molecule: transfer RNA, 72 nt
Filed under: Ovis aries (sheep)
Lineage: Eukaryota; Metazoa; Chordata; Mammalia; Artiodactyla; Bovidae
Rfam family: tRNA
About the family: Transfer RNA (tRNA) molecules are approximately 80 nucleotides in length. Their secondary structure includes four short double-helical elements and three loops (D, anti-codon, and T loops). Further hydrogen bonds mediate the characteristic L-shaped molecular structure. tRNAs have two regions of fundamental functional importance: the anti-codon, which is responsible for specific mRNA codon recognition, and the 3' end, to which the tRNAs corresponding amino acid is attached (by aminoacyl-tRNA synthetases). tRNAs cope with the degeneracy of the genetic code in two manners: having more than one tRNA (with a specific anti-codon) for a particular amino acid; and 'wobble' base-pairing, i.e. permitting non-standard base-pairing at the 3rd anti-codon position.
Source: Rfam by way of RNAcentral